AGGAGCCGGAUACGGCGAAAGUCGUAAGUCCGGUUUUGAAGCAGGGGGUGGGAAGGCGACUUCCUGCUCUACUGUAAC
Molecule: non-coding RNA, 78 nt
Organism: Microcystis aeruginosa NIES-843
Lineage: Bacteria; Bacillati; Cyanobacteriota; Cyanophyceae; Chroococcales; Microcystaceae
Source: Rfam